UCGGGAAUUUUGGGCAAUGGGCGAAAGCCUGACCCAGCAACGCCGCGUGAAGGAUGAAGUAUUUCGGUAUGUAAACUUCGAAAGAAUAGGAAGAAUAAAUGACGGUACUAUUUAUAAGGUCCGGCUAACUACGUGCCAGCAGCCGCGGUAAUACGUAGGGACCAAGCGUUGUUCGGAUUUACUGGGCGUAAAGGGCGCGUAGGCGGCAAUUCAAGUCAUCUGUGAAAUCUCCGGGCUUAACUCGGAACGGUCAGAUGAUACUGCUUUGCUAGAGUGCAGAAGGGGCAAUCGGAAUUCUUGGUGUAGCGGUGAAAUGCGUAGAUAUCAAGAGGAACACCUGAGGUGAAGACGGGUUGCUGGGCUGACACUGACGCUGAGGCGCGAAAGCCAGGGGAGCAAACGGGAUUAGAUACC
This 414-nucleotide ribosomal RNA is filed under the name uncultured bacterium. Its description in RNAcentral is "bacterial SSU rRNA". It matches the Rfam family "Bacterial small subunit ribosomal RNA", at positions 355 to 786 of the family's 1533-position model. The record is from RNAcentral.